This 78-nucleotide transfer RNA is filed under the name Ceratitis capitata (Mediterranean fruit fly). Its description in RNAcentral is "tRNA-Ser". The record is from RNAcentral. Lineage: Eukaryota; Metazoa; Arthropoda; Insecta; Diptera; Tephritidae.
GGCUGAUGUUGGCGCAGUGGUAGAGCACUCGCCUGCUAAGUCAGGAUCCGUUGGUUCGAUCCCUGCCAUAGGAAGUCA